GACGAACGCUGGCGGCGUGCUUAACACAUGCAAGUCGAACGGAAAGGCCCUGCUUUUGUGGGGUGCUCGAGUGGCGAACGGGUGAGUAACACGUGAGUAACCUGCCCUUGACUUUGGGAUAACUUCAGGAAACUGGGGCUAAUACCGGAUAGGAGCUCCUGCUGCAUGGUGGGGGUUGGAACGUUUCGGCGGUUGGGGAUGGACUCGCGGCUUAUCAGCUUGUUGGUGGGGUAGUGGCAGACCAAGGCUUUGACGGGUAGCCGGCCUGAGAGGGUGACCGGCCACAUUGGGACUGAGGUACGGCCCAGACUCCUACGGGAGGCAGCAGUGGGGAAUAUUGCACAAUGGGCGGAAGCCUGAUGCAGCGACGCCGCGUGCGGGAUGACGGCCUUCGGGUUGUAAACCGCUUUCGCCUGUGACGAAGCGUGAGUGACGGUAAUGGGUAAAGAAGCACCGGCUAACUACGUG
RNAcentral lists this ribosomal RNA (468 nucleotides) under uncultured bacterium. RNAcentral describes it as "partial 16S ribosomal RNA". It matches the Rfam family "Bacterial small subunit ribosomal RNA", at positions 28 to 507 of the family's 1533-position model. The record is from RNAcentral.